Salvelinus fontinalis (brook trout) is the source of this 3919-nucleotide long non-coding RNA. RefSeq lists it as uncharacterized. The transcript is spliced from 2 exons. The record is from RefSeq and is a predicted model, not a curated record. Lineage: Eukaryota; Metazoa; Chordata; Actinopteri; Salmoniformes; Salmonidae.
UUUUGAAGGCUGCUGUCUAUUUGAGCUCGUCAGUCUGUGUUGGUAAUCCUGUCGAACGCGGCUUUAAAAAAAAACAUUGUGUAGUGGAGCUGCAAAAGUGCUGCUCUCCACUUUCUGGAGGACCAAAUUUUGAAAUCAGUGGAAUUUGAGUAUGAUAGCUAAAGAGAUGGAGAUUAGUUCCGGAUUACAUAUUCAAACUAAAGGCAACCGUAGUAUGGCACUCCUGAUAGGGAGAUGAGUCCAUCAUGCAUGAUGAUGUAUACAGGUAAGAGAGUCUUGCGUUAGCUAGCUACAUUUUCAGAUAUUACACGUUUCAAUUUUGACAAAGUGGAUUCAUUUCAAAGCUAAAGUGUACUGUUAGCUAGCUAAUGUUAGCUGGCAGGCUCCCUAGCUGACGUUAUUAUUUGUUUCCCAGAGCCGUUUGCUUUUCUAGUUAGAGCCUAAUGUUAGCUAGCUAACAUUGGACCUGGUUGGUUAGCUCCAUAGCACUGUGGCAUUGCUGGCACUUUGUGAAUUGUUGUUUAACUAGCUAAUGUUAGCUGGCUGGCUUGUUAGCUAACGUUCUGUGACCUGUGUGUUCUUAAGCUUAUUUUUUUUACCUAGCUAGGUUCAUUGUUUCGCUAGCUACACUACCGUUCAAAAGUUUGGGGUCGGAAUCCCGGAGUCGCCUCUUCACUGUUGACAUUGAGACGGGCGUUUUGCGGGUACUGUUUAAUGAAGCUGCCAGUUGAGGACUUGUGAGGCGUCUGUUUCUCAAACUAGACACUCUAAUGUACUCUUGGUCAGUUGUGCACCGCUGUUUCCCACGCCUCUUUCUAUUCUGGAUAGAGGCUGUUUGCGUUGUACGAGAUCUUCAGUUUCUUGCAAAUUUCUCACAUGGAAUAGCCUUCAUUUCUCAUAACAAGAAUAGACUGAUGGGUUUCAGAGGAAAGUUCUAUUGUUUCUGGCCAUUUUGAGCCUGUAAUCGAACCCACAAAUGCUGAUGCUCCAGAUACAACUAGUUUAAAGAAGGCCAGUUGUAUUGCUUCUUUAAUCAGAACAUCAGUUUUCAGCUGUGCUAACAUAUUUGCCAAAGGGUUUUCUAAUGAUCAUUUAGCCUUUUAAAAUUAUAAACUUGGAUUAGCUAACACAACGUGCCAUUGGAACACAAGAGUGAUGGUUGCUGAUAAUGGGCUUCUGUACGCCUAUGUAGAUAUUCCAUAAACAAAUAUGCCGUUUCCAGGUACAAUAGUCAUUUACAAUGUCUACACUGUAUAUCUGAUCAAUUUUAUGUUAUUUUAAUGUACAAAAGGUGAUUUUCUUUCAAAAACAUGGACAUUUCUAAGUGACCCCAAACUUUGGAACAGAAGUGUAUAUCUCUUAAGCUAAAGUGUACUGUUAGCUAGCUAGCUAACGUUAGUUGGCUGGCUCCCUAGCGGACAUUACUAUUUGUUUUCCCAGAGCUGUUUGCUUUCUAGUUAGAGCCUAAUGUUGGCAUUGUUGGCGCUUUGUUCAUUGUUUAACUAGCUAGCGUUAGCUGGCUGGCUUGUUAGCUAACAUUACGUGAUGUGUAUACAAUACCCGUUGAAUAUGGCCGGUGUCAGUAAACGUCUGCAAAAUAGCGUAAUGAAAUUGUUGCCAGCAGAACUGGUUAGGUUGUUUUCAUGUUAUCCAGAGGUAAACAAAUCAUCGGUCAGAGCGUCAAGUGUGCGCUCCGAGAGUGAAACAAGAUGGGUGGGGCUAAAGCUUAAGAGGGUGUGAACAAUGCUGAAUGGGUGUAGACAAAGAAGAUCUCUUCACUCGAUACCAAAACGUUCAAAGGCGAUUUUCUCAAAAGUGAGUUUACAAGUUGAUCAACUUUCAAACCAGAAUUACUUUUCCAUUUUCCAUUUUCUCAAAUGCAGUGUAUGAUAUACCAUUUUGUAGCUCUGAGUCUCUACUUUUAUCCAAUGUAAAAAACACCAUUUCACAUUUUGCUACAUGAGACCAAAACCAGGUAUUUUGUCACAAAUAUGUUGCUACUACUCUCAAUAACAUUGUUGCCCUGAAUUUAAAAGGGGCUUUCGACAAAGGUAAGUGGGAAUAAGUUGUGAAUGACUACUUUCUGGAGGACAAUCAUGCCAUGCUGACUCUCUCUUACUCUGAAAAUGAAUCAGUCGAUGAAGAAAUCCCUGAUUUUGGUAAAAACAUUUUCAUUGAAGACGACAUUGUAGAUUAACCUAUGUUUAUGAAGUGUGUGUAACGUUAGUGAUGUUUUCUCAGUAUGCCAUUUCGCAUUGCUAGUUAUAGCCUAAUGUUAGCUAGCUAACAUUUAAUCUAUUUGGUUAAUUUUAGCUAGCAAUCGGUCUGUAUUGCUAGUAAUGUAACUAUGGAUUGGGAUUUUAGUUUUUUUUUUUUUAGCUAGCUAACGUUAAUGUGACGUCUAAACAAAAGACCCCAAGUUAAAGCUUGUUGUUAGCUAGCUAACGUUAGAUGAGGUUAGAUGGCUGGCUUGCUAGCAACAUAAAGAUUAACUUACAUGUAUAAAGUAUGUGUAACGUUAGUGAUGUUUUCUCAGAAUGCCAUUUCACAUUGCUAGUUAUAGCCUAAUGUUAGCUAGCUAACAUUGAACCUAUUUGGUUCAUUUUAGCUAGCUAAGUCACAAUUGGUUUGCAUUGCUAGUUAAAGCUUGCUGUUAGCUAGCCAGCUGACGUUAGAUGGCUGGCUAGCUAGCUAACAUUACGUGUAUGAACUGUGUGUAGUGAUGUUAUCUCAUAAUGCCAUUUUGCAUCUAUUGUAUAAUAAUGCUAAAAUAUUGGAGUCUGGAAAGUGUCUUUCAGCAUCGGUAGAACAUGCCUGACUCUCCUCCACCAGUCAUACAAGGAGAAUGGUCUAAUGCCUUCCAUCAAAAAGAGAGCUGGCCCAACACAGGUUACACCUGAAGCAUGAGGACUUGCAGCGAGUGGUGAACUUCCUCAACAACUACGCAGAGGAUAAUGCAAUAGUAUUACCAGGACGCCACCCAAGGCACAAAGACUUUGGUGGAAAGCUGCUGCCAUCCCAUGUGACAAAAGCAGCAGUGUGACAUCUCUACAAGGAAUCGAUGACACCAGUUGCUGGUUGGACUGGAGGAUGGUACGGUGCUGGUGGAAAGCUAUAGCUGGCAACACCUGACUCCGUACUUCAGGCCGCUGCCACAGAUCAAGCAGUAGCAGCACUUCAAGUGAGGUUAUUCUUCUUAUCUAAACUUAAGAGGUGAAUUGAUGAGGUGCAAGGUUGUAUUGUUUCUUUUUUAGUUAUUUCCUGUUUUACAGCUUCGAUGCUCUGGAGCCUGAUGUUGUUGUCGCCAAGGAGCGUUUGGACUCAGUCGGGACCAGGUUUCAGCUGUUGCGCAAGGCUGACAUCCUUCCUCCCAUAUAUGGUCUGCUUGUACAAGCACCACCUGGACUGGACACAGCCAGACAAACGUAUCUUUUUGAGAAGAUCAGGGAGUUUUGCGACGAAGAGGCUAUGGACAUCACAUGCCCUGCACCAAAAACAAGGACAGAACAGAAACAGGCUCUCCAAAUAUAGAUUCCCUUGUUCAUGCGUGGAUCGGCAGGACCAGUUAUCAGCACUAUCUGCAGUGCCUCUAUUAAAAUGAAUCUCUCCUAACACACACUCCAUACCUUGCUGCUACUAUUUUUUCGAUCCUGCUGCUCAGCCACUUUACCCCUGAUUGUAUGCAGAUAAAACUACCUCAUCCAUCACUACUGUCCGUGUACAUACUGUAUAUUAUUUUAUUUAUACUGACACUAUGUAUUUCUGAUAUUGCUACUAUGCAAAUAACCAUUUGGCUGUCCGUUUACACUUUCUGUAGAGACCCAUCCACUUAGCAAGACAGCAAACUAUUGAUAUAUAAAAUGAACAUGUUGUCGUAACAUGAUUUUGUGACAUACCAUAAAAAUAUCAUGUGACCGUA